Molecule: transfer RNA, 76 nt
Filed under: Oscillospiraceae bacterium
Lineage: Bacteria; Bacillati; Bacillota; Clostridia; Eubacteriales; Oscillospiraceae
Description: tRNA-Pro
Rfam family: tRNA
About the family: Transfer RNA (tRNA) molecules are approximately 80 nucleotides in length.
Source: RNAcentral
CGGGGUAUGGCGCAGUUGGUAGCGCGCUUGACUGGGGGUCAAGAGGCCGCAGGUUCAAGUCCUGUUACUCCGACCA